CUCGUAGGUGGUUCAACAAGUCGGUCGUGAAAGCCCGGGGCUCAACCCCGGGACGCCGGUCGAAACUGUUGUGACUAGGGUCCGGUAGAGGUGAGUGGAAUUCUCGGUGUAGCGGUGGAAUGCGCAGAUAUCGAGAGGAACACCAGUAGCGAAGGCGGCUCACUGGGCCGGUACCGACGCUGAGGAGCGAAAGCAUGGGGAGCAAACA
This 208-nucleotide ribosomal RNA is filed under the name uncultured bacterium. Its description in RNAcentral is "partial 16S ribosomal RNA". It matches the Rfam family "Bacterial small subunit ribosomal RNA", at positions 568 to 774 of the family's 1533-position model. The record is from RNAcentral.